This 468-nucleotide ribosomal RNA is filed under the name uncultured bacterium. RNAcentral's name for it is "partial 16S ribosomal RNA". It matches the Rfam family "Bacterial small subunit ribosomal RNA", at positions 28 to 507 of the family's 1533-position model. The record is from RNAcentral.
GACGAACGCUGGCGGCGUGCUUAACACAUGCAAGUCGAACGGAAAGGCCCUGCUUUUGUGGGGUGCUCGAGUGGCGAACGGGUGAGUAACACGUGAGUAACCUGCCCUUGACUUUGGGAUAACUUCAGGAAACUGGGGCUAAUACCGGAUAGGAGCUCCUGCUGCAUGGUGGGGGUUGGAAAGUUUCGGCGGUUGGGGAUGGACUCGCGGCUUAUCAGCUUGUUGGUGGGGUAGUGGCUUACCAAGGCUUUGACGGGUAGCCGGCUUGAGAGGGUGACCGGCCACAUUGGGACUGAGAUACGGCCCAGACUCCUACGGGAGGCAGCAGUGGGGAAUAUUGCACAAUGGGCGGAAGCCUGAUGCAGCAACGCCGCGUGCGGGAUGACGGCCUUCGGGUUGUAACCCGCUUUCGCCUGUGACGAAGCGUGAGUGACGGUAAUGGGUAAAGAAGCACCGGCUAACUACGUG